GCUGGGUGAGGUGGCGCUUGCCUAUAAUCCCAGCAGCUGGGGAGGCUGAGACAGGAGUUCAAAGCCAGCCUCAUCAACAGCCAGGCGCUAAGCAACUCAAUGAGACCCUGUCUCUA
Molecule: small RNA, 116 nt
Filed under: Marmota monax (woodchuck)
Lineage: Eukaryota; Metazoa; Chordata; Mammalia; Rodentia; Sciuridae
Source: RNAcentral